Molecule: long non-coding RNA, 5535 nt
Filed under: Malus domestica (apple)
Lineage: Eukaryota; Viridiplantae; Streptophyta; Magnoliopsida; Rosales; Rosaceae
Description: long non-coding RNA (MDOM_LNC013831)
Source: RNAcentral
AGAGAUUCCGUAAUCGUGACCGUUCAUCAUACAUCGUGCGGUCAGAAAUCAUUUCAAAUUUUAAAAUUAAAUAUAAAUAGUACUUAACAAAAACUGACCGCACGAUGUACGAUGAACAAUCACGAUCACAUAAUCCUCAAGAAAAGGAUCCGGCGUCCUCGAAACACGCGGGAAGUUGAAUCAACUGGAUUGAGAUUUGAAUAGGCAUAGCAUUCAGCAAAAUUGGCCAGCAGGUCAUGAAUUGAAGUGAAUGUUGAACGUAUGCAUGGGUAUGGGCAUGUUGGGUAUGCCCAUGAUCAUGUAUUUGGCAUGCAUGGCAUGGGAAGCAAAUCUCGAAAGGGAAUCAAAAGAAAUUGCCCUCUCUCCUUCCACACCCGGCGAAAAAGCACCUCUGCUUACGUCACCUGUAUCUCUUGGGGAUUUUCACGGGCCCACCUCCUCCACCACUCCCCCCACCCUCUCCGCUCCUCUUUCUCUUACUCUCUCUCCUCCGACCCUUUACCCUUUAAUUUAAUUUCGAGUAAUGUUAUUCACAAAAGAUUUUUUUAUUUUAUCUUUUUAUACAUCUUUUUUAAUUUUAAGUUAUCGAAUUAAAUAACAACAACAACAACAACAACAACAAAGCCUUUUCCCACUAAGUGGGGUCGGCUAUAUGAAUCCUAGAACGCCAUUGCGCUCGGUUUUGUGUCAUAUCCUCCGUUAGAUUCAAGUACUCUAAGCCUUUUCUUAGAGUUUCUUCCAAAGUUUUCCUAAGUCUUCCUCUACCCCUUCGGUCCUGAACCUCUGUCCCGUAGUCACAUCUUCGAACCGGAGCGUCAGUCGGCCUUCUUUGCACAUGUCCAAAUCACCAGAACCGAUUUUUUCUCAUCUUUCCUUCAAUUUCGGCUACUCCUACUUUACCUCGGAUAUCCUCAUUCUCAAUCUUAUCCUUUCUCGUGUGCCCACACAUCCCACGAAGCAUCCUCAUCUCCGCUACACCCAUUUUGUGUACGUGUUGAUGUUUCACCGCCCAACAUUCUGUGCCAUACAACAUCGCUGGCCUUAUUGCCGUCCUAUAAAAUUUUCCCUUGAGCUUCAGUGGCCUACGACGGUCACACAACACACGCCGGAUGCACUCUUACACUUUCAUCCAUCCAGCUCGUAUUCUAUGGUUGAGAUCUCCAUCUAAUUCUCCGUUCUCUUGCGAGAUAGAUCCUAGGUAGCGAAAACAGUCGCUUUUUGUGAUCUUCACUAGAUUGCUCCGAUCAUUAGUGUGGAUAAGUAUAUAAAUGGAUAGAGAUAGGAAAGCAAACACAAGAUGUACGUGGUUCACCCAGAUUGGCUACGUCCGCGGAAUAGAAGAGUUCUCAUUAAUUGUGAAGGGUUUACACAAGUACAUAUGUUCAAGCUCUCCUUUAGUGAGUACAAGUGAAUGAUUUAGUACAAAUGACAUUAGAGUACAAAUGACAUUAGGAAAUAUUGUGGGAGAACGAUCUCGUAAUCACGAAACUUCUAAGUAUCGGAGUGUGGUAUCAUCUUGACUUGCCUUAUCUGUCGCAUAGGUAGAUGUGGCAGCUUCUCUGGAAGUACUCUUCCUCCAUCCAGGGGUGGUAUCUUUAACUGGUGAAGAUGCACAAGGUAAUGUAUCAAUUUCACUUGAAGCUUACUUGUAGUUUCAGGCUUGGUCAAGCGCGAUACAAACCAUGUAGUAGGAGUCCCCCAAGUCGCCGAGCUAGGGGAUCUGCUGAAAGAGGUGACAGACAAGGUAAGCAAUCAGAGCUCCGGCUGAUUGUUCACCUUCUCCCCAUCUUGCAGCAGCAUGAAGGAUAAAGAGAAGAAAAAUGAGAAGAGAUGAUAUGGAAUACUUUUGCUUUUGAAGAAGUAACUUUCCACAGUCUAAUUCUUGAACUGAGCUGGAGGGUUUUCUGGUUUCCUCCAGAGUAUAAGGCCGACUGAAGAAUUUGAGGGUCAAAACAAGUCCAUCUAAUCUAGAGUACGUUCGACCAUGCUGAUAUGGGAUACUUUUGCUUUUGACAGAGUAAUGGAUGUAUCGGCAUGUGUGCUGUUACGCUUGUCUCCACAUGCUUCCUUGUAUCCUUCGCACUUGCCCUAUCUGUCCCUCGAGCAGAUGCGGUAUCUUCCCUGGACGCAUAAGAUGUUGAAGAUGAGUACUCGAGAACAAUGCCAGGUAAGUAAUCAGGUAAGGGGUUCCAGGCAGUCAGUUCCUGGCUGGUAACUUGAUUUCAAGUGCUGACUGAUUGCUCUCUUUCUCCUUGUCUUGCAGGUAAAAACGAGGCCAAAGGAAAAGACAGGGAAAAAGCAUGAUAUGGGAUACUCUUGCUUUUAACCCUGAUGAUAUGAGAUAUUCUUGCUCUAGUAUAGCUUGUUUGCAGAGGUAUUAUCGGGGGGAAAGAAAGCUGAAUAUUUCGAAAGGCUUCGUUGGGAGUGCCCUCUCAUAUAUGAGGAAGGGUUGAGCAUUUUUGCAAGUCUGCCUGUCCGUUGGGGAUGGAGGUCGACAUAUAUAGGAGUCUCCCUAACAAAAAGUAGUAAUGCUAUUCCUUUACCCUGCUUGGUCAUAGCACGGUAGUGGGAGCUGCCAGCUUCACAUGUUUUAACUCUGUCAGAGCACUUUGAAAAAGUGGUAUGUGGUAUGUGGUAUCUGGCUCUCGAGAUUCGGAGAACGAUGCUUCUUCGAUUUUUGAGAAAGCAAUCAUGCUGGGGGUCUGGCGCUCGAGAUUCGGGGAGCAAUGUCUCUUCGAUUUUUGAGAAAGUAAUCAUGUUGGGAGUCUGGCUCUCGAGAUUCGGAGGACGGUGCCUCUUCGAUUUUGGAGUAAGCAAUCUUGUUGGGAGUGUUUUCUCGGAUGUGAGUAAAGGUUGGGCAUGUUUGCUAGUCUACCUUGCCACGAAGCACGAAGGUUGACACACAGGGACUUCAAUUAUCCAACAGUGGUACUGUUCCUUUACCCUUGUGGGUAAUAAUAUGUUAGCUAGACCUUCAAAAUUUAUGUGUCUAAACUUUGUUAGUGCAGUUUUUUUUGCUAUUCUUUUACCUUUCUUGGUCAGAGCGAUGUAGUGGGAGCUACAAGCUUCACAUGCUCAACUUUGGAAAAGACUUUGGCAAAGUUAUCUGUGGUACCCAUGAGCUAUUGUUGCGUGUGGGAAGUGGGUGAUUGAACAGUAAGAUUCAUAUGUUUUCUACUUCACCAGAAGUCUUCGACAGAAUGCCCAUAAUUUCCGCAAAGCUGAGUGUGCUUGUGACAGGUGCUCACAAGCCUAGAAAAGUAGGUGCCUCUUCAAUUUCUGAGAUCGGCCCUCGUGGUCUCUGAGCAGCCCAGCUUUUGAGAAAGCGAGCGCCUCUUCGAUUGAUUCGAAGAACGAUGCCUCUUCGAUUUUUGAGAAAGCAUCAUGCUGGGGGUCUGGCUCUCGAGAUUCGGGGAGCAGUGUCUCUUCGAUUUUUGAGAAAGUAAUCAUGUUGGGAGUCUGGCUCUCGAGAUUCGGAGGACGGUGCCUCUUCGAUUUUGGAGCAAGCAAUUUUAUUGGGAGUGUUUUCUCGAAUGUGAGUAAAGGUUGGGCAUGUUUGCUAGUCUACCUUGCCACGAGGCACAGAGGUUGACACACAGGGACUUUCCAAUUAUCCAGCAGUGGUAUUGUUCCUUUACCCUUGUGGGUAAUAAUAUGGUAGCUAGACCUUCAAAAUUUAUGGGUCUAAACUUUGUUAGUGCUGUUUCUUUGCUAUUCUUUUACCUUUCUUGGUCAGAGCGAUGUAGUGGGAGCUGCAAGCUUCACGUGCUCAACUUUGGCAGAGGACUUUGGCAAAGUUAUCUGUGGUACCCAUGAGCUAUUGUUGCGUGUAGGGAAGUGGGUGAUUAGAACAGUAAGAUUCAUGUGUUUUUCUACUUCCCCAGAAGUCUUCGACAGAAUGCCCAUAAUUUCCGCAACGCUGAGUGUGCGUGUGACAGGUGCUGACAAGGCUGGAAAAAGUAGGUGCCUCUUCGAUUUCUGAGAUCGGCCCUCGUGGUCUCUGAGGGAGCCCAGCUUUUGAGGAAAGCGAACGCCCCUCUUCGAUUUCUGAGAUCGGCCUUUCGUGGUCUUUGAGCAGCCCAACUUUUGAGAAAGCAAACGCCUCUUCGAUUUAUGAGAUCAACCCUCGUGAUCUCUAAGCAGCCCAGCUUUUGAGAAAGCAAACGCCUCUUCGAUUUCUGAGCAGGCGCCUCUUCGAUUUCUGAAGCUCCGUCGAGUGCAGAUUUUUAUAGGGCUGGCAUUAAGUUCCAAAGCACACUUGAAUCUCCACCAGUAGAAGCUUCCAUUCUUGCACUUCUAAGAUCUUGAUUUGUCCGACCUCUUCUCUCUUCAACACCUUUGAAAAUGUCUGGCCCCUCCGACCGUCGUUUUGACUUGAACCUUGUUGAAGAGGCAGCCCCGCCUUCUCCAGACAACAUAUGGCGCCCAUCCUUCGUCUCCCCUACUGGUCCUCUUACCGUUGGGGAUUCCGUGAUGAAGAAUGAUAUGACCGCUGCGGUGGUGGCCAGGAACCUUCUCACUCCCAAAGAUAACAGACUACUUUCCAAACGGUCUGAUGAGUUAGCUGUUAAGGAUUCGCUGGCUCUCAGUGUUCAGUGUGUGCAGGUUCUGUGUCUAAUAUGGCCCAACGCCUAUUUGCUCGAACCCGCCAAGUUGAAUCAUUGGCGGCUGAAGUGAUGAGUCUCAAACAGGAGAUUAGAGGGCUCAAGCAUGAGAAUAAACAGUUGCACCGGCUCGCACAUGACUAUGCUACAAACAUGAAGAGGAAGCUUGACCAGAUGAAGGAAACUGAUGGUCAGGUUUUACUUGAUCAUCAGAGAUUUGUGGGUUUGUUCCAAAGGCAUUUAUUGCCUUCGUCUUCUGGGGCUGUACCGCGUAAUGAAGCUCCAAAUGAUCAACCUCUGAUGCCUCCUCCUUCUAGGGUUCUGUCCAGUACUGAGGCUCCGAAAUGAUUCCCCCUCCGGUGCCUUCUCUUUCUGGGGCUCUACCGACUGCUGAGACUUCUCCUAAGCAACCUUUGUGAAGGCUCCCUCUUGUUGUGUUUAUUUUGACUCAUGUAUAUGUACAUAUUUGUAGCUUAUCGGGGAUAUCAAUAAAUAAGCUUUCCUUCAUUUCAACGUAUUGUGUUAAAUACACCAAAGCCUUCUUCGCUAAGUUCUUUUGAAUUUUCUUUUUGUUGGAAGCUUUGUGAGUGGAGCAUGUAGGUUGAGGUAGUGUUCCCUUAAUUUCCCGAGUGAGGAAAACUUCUCGGUUGGAGACUUGGAAAAUCCAAGUCACUGAGUGGGAUCGGCUAUAUGAAUCUUAGAACGCCAUUGUGCUUCGGUCCUGUGUCAUGUCCUUCGUUAGAUCCAAGUACUCUAAGUCUUUUCUUAGAGUCUCUUCCAAAGUUUUCCUAGGUCUUCCUCUACCCCUUCGGCCCUGAACCUCUGUCCCAUAGUCGCAUCUUCUAAUCGGAGCGUCAGUAGGCCUUCUUUGCACAUGUCCAAACCACCGUAACCGAUUUUUCUCUCAUCUUUCCUUCAAUUUCGGCUACUC